AUAAAAAUAAUUUUAAUUCAUUUUGAUUAAUUUUUCACUUUUUGUUUAAUUUUGAUUUGGUUUUAUUAUUUCCAAUGCUGAAUUCCCAUAUUUGUUUUCCUUAACUACACAUCAACUAAUGUGUGAAAAUUUUAUGGGUAUGAACAUGCAUUUCGUACCUAAACUCGGAAAAUUGCCAUCCUAUAUAGUAGGACUUCAGCUCAAAAGUUUCCUUCAAUUUAGGCAUCUUUUGUUAUAUUUUCUUUUCAAUUCAAAAUUUCUCUUGGAUAAAUAUUUUUGAGUGAGGCUUUAAUAUCAAAGUUUGGCAAUAUGAAAAGAAAGUAAGUACAUUUUUGAGUGAGGCUUUCACAUGUUGUCGGCCGAAAUUAAUUCCUAAAAUCCAUCAAUUAUACACGAUGCAUAUGCAUGCAUAUCAUUUUGUAGCAUCACAUGGGAUGGGCUCCAUAUUCAAACCCUUGCAUCUGCACAAAACAUCACAUCAAAAUCCAUCCAACCUAACAACUAAUUAUUUGUGGUCGAGGGACAAGGGCGGCUUUGUAGUUUGUACAUCCUUUGUUCUCUACCACUACUUCACAAUAACUAGCAGUUCACCAUUUCGGCCAUGUUAAAAGUUUAUAAGUUAAUCAAAACUCCUAAAGAUCUUUAAUUUAACUUAAUAUUUUUACUUUCAAUUUUAGUACAAAUGUUCAUCUUUAUGGACAGUAGUAUACGUUGUUAAAUUGGUAAUGUUAAAUGUUUUUCCUUUUACUUAAAUCUUAACCUUUUGUUACAAAACUCAUUUUUUCAUAUAUAUUAUGUUAGGGUUUGCUUGUUGAAAAUUCGAUUUGUGAGUUGACAUAUAGAGAGUCUAUUAUAAAACCAUGAAUUACUUCUAAAAA
Molecule: long non-coding RNA, 878 nt
Filed under: Citrus x clementina
Lineage: Eukaryota; Viridiplantae; Streptophyta; Magnoliopsida; Sapindales; Rutaceae
Description: Citrus clementina (C. clementina) long non-coding RNA (CCLE_LNC004150)
Source: RNAcentral